Molecule: transfer RNA, 66 nt
Filed under: Chtenopteryx sicula
Lineage: Eukaryota; Metazoa; Mollusca; Cephalopoda; Oegopsida; Chtenopterygidae
Description: tRNA-Leu
Source: RNAcentral
ACAAGGUUGGCAGAAAUAAUGCAAAUAAUUUAGGUUUAUUUUAUAAGAUGUAAGUCUUACUUUGUA